Non-coding RNA from Sus scrofa (pig), 5831 nucleotides. The record is from RefSeq and is a predicted model, not a curated record. NCBI's taxonomy places the organism in Eukaryota, Metazoa, Chordata, Mammalia, Artiodactyla, Suidae.
CGGCGGCGGGCGAGCGGGCGGCGGCGGCGGCGGCGGCGGCGGCGGCUCUCUUCACUGUCGGUAGGUAGAGCUCGCGCUCUCGCACUUAGCUCUUUCCUUUAACAGCCCAGGCGAAUUCCUCAGACUCCCGGCGGUGGCGGCGCUUACACGCGAUUCGCGUUCAUCAAUCCACGACAUGAAGACAGGCGAGAGGGAGAGGGAGAGAGAGGGAGAGAGAGAGGGAGAGAGAGAGGGAGAGAGAGAGAGAGAGAGAGAGAGAAGGAAGGGAUAGAGGGCGGGGGGUAGAGGGGUUCAGGGCUGGGGGGGACCUGGAAGAAGGGGAGGGGAGGAAGGGGGAGGGAUGGGGGUGUGGUAUAUGUGCGUGGUGGGGGGGGAGAGCCAGCCCCAGCUAAUGGCAAGGGCCAGCUUUUCCAAGGUGCGCAUUCAGAUUUGAAGGUGCCUCUCCCCCCCUUCUCUUUUCCUUCCUCGGAGCCAGAGAGCGCGAGGGAUCCCUGAGCAAGCAGGUCAACUCAGGUUACCUCAACAGGUAUAAGACCCCCGAGGGGGUCUGGAUGUCAACAAGAGAGAGCAGGUAUCCUAACCCCCAAAAGAUGGGCUCCCCAGGGGGGUCCUUACAUCCGGGGACUUUGAGGAGGAACAAGCACAGUGUCUCCCCAAACACUUGAGGCAGCACAGCCCCCCUGUCUCCUGCCCCUCCCCAGGUGGGAAGCUGCCAGAUCUUCCCUAGGCCAUUACGGUUCCCCUGCCUGCCUGCUGUGGACAGUGGUGAGGGCCAGGGGCUGGGGGCACUCCUUAGACCCAGUCAGGCUUCACUGCCCCUUCAGACACCAGCUCCUGCCUGAGACAGGAAGCCCAGGCAAUAGUCACGAGCUUGCCUGGAGGCUCUGAGAGCAAAGCUGCUUGUGGGGACAGAGAAGGAGAGGGCAGCUGGUGGGUUCCUGGCCUUCUGUUUGGGCUGCUCCCGGAGGUUUCUUCUUAGGAGACAACGGGUAUCUGGGUUGGAGGAGACCAGAGCAGGCCUCUGACUUGUCCCUGCAUACCCUAACCCCAUAGGAAAUGCCAGUUUGGCCUGGAGGGGCUCUCUGGCUUCACCGCACCCCCUCCACUUCCCCAGGCAGACUGCCCAGGCCAGGAUGUGGAUGGGAACUGUCAACAGACACUCUUUAAAUAUUUACACACACUUUCUCUGGGGGGUUUCCCCCAUCCUAGAGCCUGGGUAAAUUCAAGUUAAUUCUAAGGCAUAAAAGAACCUUAUUCCAUCAGCACCCUUCUCUGGCCACAACUGUGUACAGUUGUGUGGACUUAACACAGAGAGAAAAGGGAGAAGGUCAGAGAGCUGUGGAUAUGUGUGCUGUGUGCAGAUGAAUGAAGAAGAGGAGUAAGAAUGAUUUUUCCAGUCCUCCGCUCCACAGUGGAGUGAGGUUGCUACACUCAGGGCAACACAGGAGCACACUCGGGAUCCAUACAUGCCGUGCUACCUUCCACGCUGAGAAACAUUCAGUGCACGCUCAGGAAACUGUCAUGCAUGCUGGAAGCACCCCUGUCACCUCACAGACACUGUACACACCCAAGCACAUGCAAAAAUAAAAUGCGAUAAACACAUAUGCAUCUUUAGAUCUUUGCAUCAGGAGAAAAAAAAAAUGUGCUCCCUAUUUCCCUGCCACAUCCUGGGGUUUCGGGGUUGGAUGAGGAAGGAGGCGGUCAGAAAACCAGAUCUUUUUCUUCCCCCUCCAGAGCCCAGCUCUGGGGAUGGAGAAAGAAAUGAAAGUGCAGGGGUGGAUGCUGUAGAGAGAACAAGCCCCCUCCUCUCUAUUAACUAAGUCAUUGCUGGUGAAAUGUCCAAUCUCAGCCAAAUUCCCAAAGGAGAGUUACUGAUGCCCCAGCAGGAGACAUUUCCAGGAUCCCCUGAAUUUGGAGGGAACCCCCCCACCCCCGUGACACCCAGAACUCUGGCCCUGGAGCAGCAGGAGGGGGAGGUCAACGGAGGGCUGUGCCAGGGCUGAGGCCUCCCCAGGGUCCAGGACAGUGGGGGGCAUGACAGAGGUCUCCUCCGCUGCCGCACAUGCCCCAGCCUUGGUUCCAGCCCUGCCUCCUCUGAGCCAGUUCUGCGGGUACGGAGCUGAAGGAGACAGACUCUGGGCUCCCAGCAUCUAGGUCACUGGGGACUGUCAUAAAUACUUUCCCUUCCCCUCCUGGAAAGAGGAGGCUGGGCAGGCCGGAUCCGCUCUGGGGCCUGCGCCUUAUCUUUUAGGGGUUGGGGGGAUAUCUUGACAUUUUAUGGUCCAGCGAAAACCCUGCCACAGAGCUAUUCUUCCGGGCCUUUGUGUCUUGGAAUGCGACUGUCCCGAGUGUGCCGCCAGCACCGCCUGCUCCCACCAGUUCCGAAACCCCAGGCUGGACUUGGUUUCCCCUUUUGCGGGUGGGGUCCCUCGCCUUUUCUUUCUUUCGUUCAUUUGAUUGUUUUUUCUUUUACACGUAUCUGAGUGAUUUCGCUCCCGGAGCCUGGAAAUAAAGGAACGCAAGCAGCCAUCGUUGCUGGGGUGUCUCUGUCCCUCGCCCCGAGGCCCGCACCGCCCUCCUAGGUACCACGGAUUUAUGUUCGUUUGUCCGGGUCACUCUGCCUUUUCGUGUUAAUUACGCGCCGCCUGCUUCGUGCUUAUCUCCUCCGCAAAGCGAUUAUUUUCGACGCCCGCCCUCCUGAGCCUCCUGAGUCGGCUGCCAGAGCGAGGGCCCGUCUCCCGCCGCCACUCGCGAUUUAUUUACACCUCGCAGAACUGCCGCGAUUUCCCCCGCAUUCAGGCGCAUUUCUGGCCUCGGAACACCUCCGCGCCCGCAGAUGCACGCUCCGAAGCUCCCACGACCGCCUGCCCCCGGCGCGCACUCUAAAACUCCUCGGCCCUCUUACCCUGCUGCUGGCUCCGCAUCGCCUAUUCCGCCGCCGCCCGCAGGACUUUGGGGUGGGACUCUGACUUCUCCCGGCUGUUUGCCCCCUGGUUUGUAGCCCAUCCCUCUCUCUCACGCGCGCUCUCUCGCCACCUCUCCCUCCCAGCCAGUGAGGUCCUGUUCUCAGUGGGCCAUAGACAAAACAUUCCUAUAAUCCGAUUUCAAAGGAAAGAGUGUCCACCUUAUUUAAACCAUAAAACAAUUAAGCCCAGACGUCUAGCCAGCUCCGCGCUGCUGUUUUGUUCUGCCCCAUUCAGAAUCCAGCGCAGGGAGACAAACAGCGCCAUAAAAGUGGCAUUUCGGGACCGCGGAAAUGUACCUAUCCUCUGCCUUCCCAAGUGGAACAACCUUUAGGGUUUUGUGAUUCUGACAAAGGAGCAGAGGAGAGGUGGGAGGGGAAGAUUAGGGCGGGGUGGGGGGCGUUUGCCGGCCCCUCUCCCCCCGCCUCUUCCCCGGGCUUUCGCUGCUUUCCCCAGAUGUGUGUUGUGCUGUCGUGGCUUGGAGUCACAAAUGACAAUAAAUAAAAAUCGAAUCCAAUCCUGACCUGCAGGCUGGAGGCUGAGCUGGUACUGAACAGUGGGCUGGGCCGGGUGGGCCUGCUCUGGAUCCCACGCUCCGGCCAGGGCCCUCCUUUCAGAUCGGAGUAAGGCCGGCUUGGGCGGGCUGCAGGAAGCAGGCCGCGCUGACGGACCGACGAGGGGAGGCGACAGGGCCUCUGAGCAGGGGCGGGGUGGAGGCCCGGAAACGCCGCUGAGCCCGGCAGGGAGAACAGCCUGAGUACCGGCCGUCAGCACGGAGGGAGAGGGUGCCUUGUCCUCCGCCUGGUGCGGAACUGAGGCCUGGGUCCCAGAGCAGCAAAAUGGCCAAGGGGCGGAGUGAAGAAGCGAGAAAAGAGAGAAAACUACCGGCAAAGCACCUCUCAAAAGGACGGAGCGCAAACAAUCGCUUGUGGAUUGGGGCCGUUUCCUAAGCGGGAAAGAGGAAAGGGUGCUUCGGCAGCUGGGAAAACCAAACCAUUGCUUGCGACUUGUGAUUGUCCCCCUCAAAGUAUCAUCGACACAAAAUAGUCGCCCCUUCCCACCUUCCUCCUGCCCCCGAAACUGGAGUCUGUAAUAGAAGGAGGGGUAGGAGAUUCAAAUGAUGGGGAAGGGGCUGGUCCUGACAAGUGCCUCACCAAUCCCGUAAGGUGAUGCGAUGAGGGGAGCUGCACGGGUACUGGGGUCCCCAAUUCUUUUCUUCUACAGUGGUAUUCCCCAAGUAUUCAGAGCAACACCCUGCACCCUCGCCAGAAUGGGCAGCCUGAGAUAUUAAAGGGCUAUAUUUCAAGCAGUCUGAGUUUAAUAGUUUCCAGAUUGGGGGAUUUCCGAGAAAGGGGGCGCCGGGCUGAGGCAUACCCGGCAGCUCGAGUCUGCUUCUGAUUAGCAGAUGAAAACUGCCCGUUCUGGGGAAGGUGCUCUGGGGUGCUAGGCAGCUGCCCAGCCCCAUCGGGGCUGAUCCACAGCACACCCCACAUCCUUGCUCCUGAGGUCCCACCACCAUCAGAGAGCACCCCACUCCUGGCUAGUUCCUGACCAGCUUCCUUGGGUCCCAACUACACUACUCCCCCCCAAAUGCUGCAGCCGCUCAGCAUAACCCCAGUCACCCCCAGAUCAACAUUCAAAGUAAACACCAGAGAGAGAGAAAGAUGGAAUAGAAAAGAGAGAACUAGGCGAUGGGGAAGGGAGGAGGAUCUGAGAAUCCACUGAGAGGUAGAAAUGAAAUCUAAUUCUGAUCAUAUUGGUUUUGCCAUCUUCCUCCUCCCUCCCUCCCCCUCUCCCUUCCUUCCUGCCUCCUUUCUUCCCUCCCCACUUUCUCUCUCCCUGUCCCUCUCUCUGCAUCUUGCUUCUUUUACUCUCGCUGCAGUCCCCAGGGCCUGACCCGCUCCCUGAGGCCUGCUGGGCCUUCCUCCUCACUGUUCACCCCCCACCCUCCCUAGCACCACCCCCUCCACACACAUGCACCAAGCCAUCCCACGAAGCCCCUAUGCAGCCAGGCAGGACUCCAGCCCGGGCCCUCACCCAGCACCCAACUUUCAUCUUCACCUAUCUCUCCCCUGCGAUCUCGUGUACUCAUAAAUUAUUACAAUUAAUUACAGCCAGGGAAAACCAUUCAUGCCGUGCCCCCACCCCCCUCCCCGGCACCCCCUCCCGGGGGGGACUCCAUCCAGCUACCCGGAGACACACACAGGAGGCAGCCAGCCUGGGCAGGCACGAGCUGGAGCUGGACCCUGGACCCGGGCCUCAGCGGCCUCUACCGCACCCCAGAACCCUCACCCCAGUGACAGCCUGCCUGGAGAGCAGCAGUGGGCACUUGCCCUUCCGAUGUCCAGGGAGCCCCUUGCGGGGCUCCAGCCUCCCCCAAAGGAUCUGAGCACUUGCCUCCUCCAUGGACAGGAGCCACAGGGAGGAGAAAUAACGAGAACUGGAUGCAGUUGGGUUUCUGGUUUUUUAAGUGACUUCGAUAUAUUAACACAGAGCUGUUCUACCAUAACAAACAGAAGCACGUUACAGGACGGACUCUGGGGAUGAGAGGAGACACUGCUAUGUACACGCCCGAGGCGCCGGCCUGCGCCGCCGGACCCAGCCUGCGGCACGGUCCCCGGCCCUCGCCCCUCAGCUCCUGGGCUGGAAGCAUUCUUGUGUAUGUAUGUGUGUCUUUUUUUUUUUUUUUUGUACAAAAUCUGCACGCAGAGCACCCCAGGCCUGGGGAGGGAUGGCCCGGGCCAAAUACGAUACAGGAAAAAAAAAUAGAAAUAUAGCGAUUCAAGUACUGGCUUCUCUGAAGAAAGGAGAAAAAAAUCACAUUUGUGUGUGUCAUUUAUUUCAGUUGCGCUGGGAGAAGAGAACGCG